This 333-nucleotide RNase P RNA is filed under the name Candidatus Enterousia avicola. RNAcentral's name for it is "RNase P RNA component class A". It matches the Rfam family "Bacterial RNase P class A". From Rfam's summary of the family: Ribonuclease P (RNase P) is a ubiquitous endoribonuclease, found in archaea, bacteria and eukarya as well as chloroplasts and mitochondria. Its best characterised activity is the generation of mature 5'-ends of tRNAs by cleaving the 5'-leader elements of precursor-tRNAs. Cellular RNase Ps are ribonucleoproteins. The record is from RNAcentral. Lineage: Bacteria; Pseudomonadati; Pseudomonadota; Alphaproteobacteria.
ACAGAUGGGCAGAGCAUAGCUGUCAUAUCUUCAUGACAGAGGAAAGUCCGGACUGCAUGGGACGGCAUAUCGGCUAAUGACCGAGCGGAGCAAUCCGACGAUUAGAGCAACAGUGACGAAUCGAUUGAAACACAUCGGGUGAAACGGGCAAUCUCUAUGCGCAGCAACCUCAAAUAGGUCUCUUAUAAGUUUGUCCCAAACGAUAGAGACGGGUAGAGGGCUUGACAUUUUGUGGUAACACAAUCUGCAGAUUAAUUAUGCUCGCUACCCCAGAUUGGUUAGCAAAACUGAACUGGGGCAGAACAGAAUCCGGCUUACAGUCCAUCUGUUAAA